GCGCUGAGGACAGAUGGGGUCAGGAAAAAGGGGAGGGGGAGCACUGUGUGCUUGAAGUUUGGACUUGCUAUUUACUCGCAAUUUAAAUCUUAAUCAUUAAAUUCUUCCUCAUUCGCUAAAUAUUUGUCUCUCCUACUUAGGGUGACCAAACCCUUAAUACAUUUAUACAAACAAAGCUGCUUUAAAAACGGAGAAGCAUCGAUGGAGGCGUUGGAGCUGGAGCUGGAAGAAGUGGAGUCCCAGAUCCGCGCGCUGGUGGUAAGACGGUCGCGGCUACGGGAACGGCUUCUA
Non-coding RNA from Danio rerio (zebrafish), 291 nucleotides. Lineage: Eukaryota; Metazoa; Chordata; Actinopteri; Cypriniformes; Danionidae. The record is from RefSeq and is a predicted model, not a curated record.